This 267-nucleotide long non-coding RNA is filed under the name Elaeis guineensis (African oil palm). RNAcentral's name for it is "long non-coding RNA (EGUI_LNC014382)". The record is from RNAcentral. Lineage: Eukaryota; Viridiplantae; Streptophyta; Magnoliopsida; Arecales; Arecaceae.
CCACCGAACAAAAAUCUCCUCCAUCUCCACUCUCUCAACCACAAAAAUUUUCUUAAAAUCUCUCUUCCCACCGUGUUUUUCCCUUCAAAUCAUCCUUUUAGGAACUAAAUCUCUUUUUCUUUUCUUCCUCAUUUGGGCAGAUCAAGCUUACCCUAGCUUCAAACCCUCGUCUCCAAACCGACGAUCUAUCUCCCCAAAAUUCUUAUUUUUCCAUUAAAAUCCUUUCCACUCUACCUCUCAUUAGGUCUUCUAAGUUGUUUGCAAGUC